CCAGUAGUGGUUCAGUGGUAGAAUUCUCACCUUUCAUGUGGGAGACCCGGGUUCGAUUCCCAGCCAAUGCA
RNAcentral lists this transfer RNA (71 nucleotides) under Loxodonta africana (African savanna elephant). It matches the Rfam family "tRNA". Rfam says of the family: Transfer RNA (tRNA) molecules are approximately 80 nucleotides in length. Lineage: Eukaryota; Metazoa; Chordata; Mammalia; Proboscidea; Elephantidae. The record is from Rfam by way of RNAcentral.